Molecule: ribosomal RNA, 377 nt
Filed under: uncultured bacterium
Lineage: Bacteria
Description: bacterial SSU rRNA
Rfam family: Bacterial small subunit ribosomal RNA
Source: RNAcentral
UAAUACGUAGGGUGCGAGCGUUAAUCGGAAUUACUGGGCGUAAAGCGUGCGCAGGCGGUUGUGCAAGACAGGUGUGAAAUCCCCGGGCUCAACCUGGGAACUGCGCUUGUGACUGCACAACUAGAGUACGGCAGAGGGGGGUGGAAUUCCUGGUGUAGCAGUGAAAUGCGUAGAUAUCAGGAGGAACAUCGAUGGCGAAGGCAGCCCCCUGGGCCUGUACUGACGCUCAUGCACGAAAGCGUGGGGAGCAAACAGGAUUAGAUACCCUGGUAGUCCACGCCCUAAACGAUGUCGACUAGUUGUUCGGGAAGGUGACUUCUUGAGUAACGUAGCUAACGCGUGAAGUCGACCGCCUGGGGAGUACGGCCGCAAGGUUA